RNAcentral lists this ribosomal RNA (593 nucleotides) under uncultured bacterium. Its description in RNAcentral is "bacterial SSU rRNA". It matches the Rfam family "Bacterial small subunit ribosomal RNA", at positions 194 to 783 of the family's 1533-position model. The record is from RNAcentral.
CUCUGCAAGCAAGCUAGUGCCUGAAGAUGAGUCCGCGGCCCAUCAGCUAGUUGGCGGGGUAACGGCCCACCAAGGCUACGACGGGUAGCUGGUCUGAGAGGACGAUCAGCCACACUGGAACUGAGACACGGUCCAGACUCCUACGGGAGGCAGCAGUGGGGAAUCUUGCGCAAUGGGCGAAAGCCUGACGCAGCAACGCCGCGUGAGUGAUGAAGGUCUUCGGAUCGUAAAGCUCUUUCGGCAGGGAAGAACGGCACCCGGGUGAACAAUCCGGGGGCGUGACGGUACCUGCAGAAGAAGCACCGGCUAACUCUGUGCCAGCAGCCGCGGUAAUACAGAGGGUGCAAGCGUUGUUCGGAAUUAUUGGGCGUAAAGCGCGUGUAGGCGGGAUGGCAAGUCGGGUGUGAAAGCCCUCAGCUCAACUGAGGAAGUGCGCCCGAAACUACCGUUCUUGAGUGCCAGAGAGGGUGGCGGAAUUCCCGGUGUAGAGGUGAAAUUCGUAGAUAUCGGGAGGAACACCAGUGGCGAAGGCGGCCACCUGGAUGGACACUGACGCUGAGACGCGAAAGCGUGGGGAGCAAACAGGAUUAGAU